RNAcentral lists this ribosomal RNA (471 nucleotides) under Neisseria flava. RNAcentral describes it as "bacterial SSU rRNA". It matches the Rfam family "Bacterial small subunit ribosomal RNA", at positions 30 to 501 of the family's 1533-position model. The record is from RNAcentral. Lineage: Bacteria; Pseudomonadati; Pseudomonadota; Betaproteobacteria; Neisseriales; Neisseriaceae.
AUUGAACGCUGGCGGCAUGCUUUACACAUGCAAGUCGGACGGCAGCACAGAGAAGCUUGCUUCUUGGGUGGCGAGUGGCGAACGGGUGAGUAAUAUAUCGGAACGUACCGAGCAGUGGGGGAUAACUAAUCGAAAGAUUAGCUAAUACCGCAUAUUUUCUGAGGAAGAAAGCAGGGGACCAUUUGGCCUUGCGCUGUUUGAGCGGCCGAUAUCUGAUUAGCUAGUUGGUGGGGUAAAGGCCUACCAAGGCGACGAUCAGUAGCGGGUCUGAGAGGAUGAUCCGCCACACUGGGACUGAGACACGGCCCAGACUCCUACGGGAGGCAGCAGUGGGGAAUUUUGGACAAUGGGCGCAAGCCUGAUCCAGCCAUGCCGCGUGUCUGAAGAAGGGCUUCGGGUUGUAAAGGACUUUUGUCAGGGAAGAAAAGGGCGGGGUUAAUACCCCUGUCUGAUGACGUACCGAAGAAUAAC